RNAcentral lists this ribosomal RNA (253 nucleotides) under uncultured bacterium. RNAcentral describes it as "partial 16S ribosomal RNA". It matches the Rfam family "Bacterial small subunit ribosomal RNA", at positions 524 to 776 of the family's 1533-position model. The record is from RNAcentral.
UACGUAGGGUGCGAGCGUUGUCCGGAAUUAUUGGGCGUAAAGAGCUCGUAGGCGGUUUGUCGCGUCUGCUGUGAAAACUCGGGGCUCAACCCCGAGCUUGCAGUGGGUACGGGCAGACUAGAGUGCGGUAGGGGAGACUGGAAUUCCUGGUGUAGCGGUGGAAUGCGCAGAUAUCAGGAGGAACACCGGUGGCGAAGGCGGGUCUCUGGGCCGUAACUGACGCUGAGGAGCGAAAGCAUGGGGAGCGAACAGG